This 462-nucleotide ribosomal RNA is filed under the name uncultured bacterium. RNAcentral describes it as "bacterial SSU rRNA". It matches the Rfam family "Bacterial small subunit ribosomal RNA", at positions 30 to 539 of the family's 1533-position model. The record is from RNAcentral.
UGAACGCUGGUGGCAGGCCUAACACAUGCAAGUCGAACGAGGUAGCAAUACCUAGUGGCGGACGGGUGAGUAACGCGUGGGAACGUGCCCCUUGGUACGGAAUAGCCCCGGGAAACUGGGAGUAAUACCGUAUGUGGUCGAGAGACGAAAGAUUUAUCGCCAAGGGAUCGGCCCGCGUUGGAUUAGGUAGUUGGUGGGGUAAUGGCCUACCAAGCCGACGAUCCAUAGCUGGUCUGAGAGGAUGAUCAGCCACAUUGGGACUGAGACACGGCCCAAACUCCUACGGGAGCAGCAGUGGGGAAUCUUGCGCAAUGGGCGAAAGCCUGACGCAGCCAUGCCGCGUGAAUGAUGAAGGUCUUAGGAUUGUAAAAUUCUUUCAGCGGGGACGAUAAUGACGGUACCCGCAGAAGAAGCCCCGGCUAACUUCGUGCCAGCAGCCGCGGUAAUCUGGAUGGCGCGAGG